This 253-nucleotide ribosomal RNA is filed under the name uncultured bacterium. RNAcentral's name for it is "partial 16S ribosomal RNA". It matches the Rfam family "Bacterial small subunit ribosomal RNA", at positions 524 to 776 of the family's 1533-position model. The record is from RNAcentral.
UACAGGGGGGGCAAGCGUUGUUCGGAAUUACUGGGCGUAAAGCGUGCGUAGGUGGUUUUUUAAGUCCGUUGUGAAAGCCCUGGGCUCAACCUGGGAAUGGCAGUGGAUACUGGAAAGCUAGAGUGCGGUAGAGGGUAGUGGAAUUCCCGGUGUAGCAGUGAAAUGCGUAGAGAUCGGGAGGAACACCAGUGGCGAAGGCGGCUACCUGGACCAGCACUGACACUGAGGCACGAAAGCGUGGGGAGCAAACAGG